This 207-nucleotide ribosomal RNA is filed under the name uncultured delta proteobacterium. RNAcentral describes it as "partial 16S ribosomal RNA". It matches the Rfam family "Bacterial small subunit ribosomal RNA", at positions 568 to 774 of the family's 1533-position model. Lineage: Bacteria; Deltaproteobacteria. The record is from RNAcentral.
CGUGUAGGCGGCCUGAUGUGUCAGAUGUGAAAGCCCUGGGCUCAACCCAGGAAGUGCAUUUGAAACUGUCAGGCUUGAGUAGGGGAGAGGGAAGUGGAAUUCCUGGUGUAGAGGUGAAAUUCGUAGAUAUCAGGAGGAACACCGGUGGCGAAGGCGACUUCCUGGCCCUAUACUGACGCUGAGACGCGAGAGCGUGGGUAGCAAACA